CCAAGACCACUGAAACGUAAAAGCAUAUCUUCUCAAAUCUUUUCCUUGUCAAUUUACUUUUCAGAACAGUGCUAUUUCCAACCAUUUCAAGCGUCGCCCCAUAUUACCGAAAGCUGAGGUCUUCCCAUUUCCUUUUACUCUGAAGAACCUAGAUGAUUUGGCUCCGAUUCUCCUCUAGAUGAUCUUAAGGUCUCUCCCUCCAGAUUAACCAAAGCCUGCAACAGAAACCCCUGCACUGUUCGUUUGUCCCUUGGCUGAAAACCCAGGGCACAGAUGGAAAACAUUGAGACUAUCUUUUCCUUCCUGACCACAUCUCGAGCAUCGAUCCUCAGCCAUCACUUUUCGCAGCUUCAGAUUAGAGAAAGUGGGAAUGUAAUUCCACGCUAUUUUCCAUACUGUAAUCUUGAUUUUUGAGGGCAUAUGUAAAUUCCAUAGUUUUCUAUAGAAAUUUUUAGUAUCGGUCUGUAAAUAAACACUAGGAUCAAUUGUAGCUUUCUGUAAUAGUUUAUAGGCACUCCUUACUGAAAAGUCACCAGUUGCUUCCCCUCUCCAUACUUGGAUGUCUUCAUGGAUUGACUUUGAAAGCGGAAUCUGUAGUAUUUUCCUAGCGAUAUCCGAGUUAAAGGUACGGACAAUCAAGUCUCUUUUCCAUGUUCUGCUUUCCUCAUUGAUUAAGUCGGACACUACUCUAAUAUUUUCAAUGUU
This is a long non-coding RNA of Gossypium raimondii (Peruvian cotton), 705 nucleotides long. RefSeq lists it as uncharacterized. The transcript has 3 exons. NCBI's taxonomy places the organism in Eukaryota, Viridiplantae, Streptophyta, Magnoliopsida, Malvales, Malvaceae. The record is from RefSeq and is a predicted model, not a curated record.